Long non-coding RNA from Equus caballus (horse), 2509 nucleotides. NCBI's taxonomy places the organism in Eukaryota, Metazoa, Chordata, Mammalia, Perissodactyla, Equidae. The record is from Ensembl.
GCGUCAGCGGGCACCAAGGCGGGAUCUUUUUCCUGCGGACUUAGGGGCUGAGUCCGAGCACCCGGGGCUAGGAUGGUGGGCGCGAGCCGAUCUCUCCUCCCACUGCCCAAAAGCCCCAAGGAGAGGGUGGGCGUCCGGGGGCGCCGGAGCGUAAUAAACCAUACACCACCUACCCGGCGCCGGAGGAGGAAGAAGCCGAGCGGAGGGGGUGGGGGAAGCGGGGAGACCGCCCCUAACCCCUUCCUCAAAUGCUUUCCCGCCCCGACUAGAUUCCGUCGGGCCUGCGGAGCCCCAGGAGGCGCGCGAGGCCAGGUUUGCGAGCGCCCCCUGCCGCCGCCCAGAUGGCCUGCGGCUGGCCGGGAGACCCGCGUGCCCGCCGCCUCUUGCGGGCACCAAAAAGAUUCCCAAGCCCGGUGGGGCAAGCGAGCGCUCAGCGAUUUAUGACUUCAGCUUUCCUGUUCUCCUGCAGCUGCCUCAGUUUCCUCCAUUAAAGGCAAAGCUCUCCGUUGCUGUCACACACACCUUCCGGAGCUGCCUGCUCCACGCAGCCCUGCAUGGAUCAGAGCCAUGGCCACAGCAGGGCUUCUUCAGCUCUUCCCCGACGAGAUCUCAGCUUCCGUUGUCAUCCUGUCCACCACCGCUGGCAGAGUUCAGUCCCAGACCCACAACCAGCCAGCAGCAGGAGCUGCCCGGAUCCUUCCCAGCCACGGGUGGGGGAGGGGUGGACGGGACAGGCCCUGACCCGCCUUCCCGGCCCCACCAGGCUAAUAUUGGUCCCUAGACAGGCCCUGAGCUCCCACAUGUCCCCCAGCCCUUUCCAGGGGCAGUGUGCUCUGCCAGAAACCCCCUCCUGACCGUUCCUUCUGUGCUUGGUGGGCCCCUGCUCUCUUUCAAGGUCCACUCACCUGCCACCACCACUCUCAGGCAGAGGGAGGUGCUCUGUUCUCCAGGGUCCCUGACUCCGUGCGCACAGCACCACUUUCACGCUGGGAGCACUGUACUAAGACGGCGUCCGAGGGGUUUCCGCCAGAGCAGACAUCCCUUCUCUCUCCCCAACACCUGGCCAAGAUUGUUGAAUGGAGAAAAUGGAGGCCGACUGGAGGAACUCAGCCCCCACACACCUGCACCUGAGCUCCGACUCCGCUCGCUCGUAGCCAAGCCCUCCAGUGGGCCCCAGACCCUCUCACAUCCCCCGGGACUCUGCUCCCUCUGUUAUCCCCUCCCUGGCUGUCACUCCUCCACCACACAGGCCAGCCCGCUCUUAAGAAGCCCUCUAUGGUUGUUGUCUCCCCUCCCCCACCACCACCGCCGCCACCCCACCCCACCACUGCAGCUGCCAUCUCCUCCACCGUUUGCCUCAGCAGCCCUCGCUGGGCCGUCUGGUGGGUCACUCAUGACUCCACAUCUCCAAGUGCCAGGCUCAUUUCUGUGUCCUCCUGACUCAGUUUCUCAGCAACACUUAUCCAGUGGACAGCUCCCUUCCCUUGGAACACGCUGCAGUCCUGCCCCCUCCUCGCUGCCACUCCUUUUCAGCACCUUUUCUUCUCCCAAACUCGGAAUCGGUGAUCCCCAGAGUGGUUUUUGCCCCCUCCCUCCAAGGAACAUUUGGCAAUAUCUGGAGACAUUUUUGACUGUCACAGCAGGAGGAAGGGGGGUGCUACUGGCAUCUAGUAGGUAGUGGCCAGUGAUGCUGUUAGGGGUCUUAGGAUGAACAGGACAGCCCCCCACAACAAAGGAUUAUGGGCACAACGCACUAAGAGAGCUGAGAUUGAGAAACCCCGCUCUAAGGGAUGCUGCACCCGGUUCAGUCCUGGGAUCCCCUUUCUGCUGCACCUGAGCUCCUCUUGGGUAAUUUCAUCCAGCCCCAUGGCUCCCACCUGGAUGCUGAUGCUCCCCAAAUACAUCUGCCCUGAGCUCCAGGCUCAUGCAGCCCACACACUCCCCGACCCUCCCGUUCCAUGGCUGGCAGCCUCAGACUUAACAUACCCAUUUCCCCUGAACCAUGCCUGUCCCCUUGGUUCUCAGCGCUCCAUCCAGUCACAAGUGCAGAUGCCUCAACCUCCAAAACAUACAAAAGCACCCACUUCUUCCUAUUCCUACUACCCCCAUCGCUCUCACUUGCACAACUUUACUGGCUUCCAACUGUGCUCCCUGCUUUCAACCCAUUUUCCACAGAGCAUCCAGAAUGACUUUUAAAAUCUUAAAUCAGAUCUUGUCACUCCCCUCCUUAGAACCCUGUUGCUCUUAGAAUAAAACCACCCCCGCCGACCGACCUGGUCCUGCCUGCCUCCUCCCCUCUUCAUCCCUCCACAUCUUGCUUCUUCCUGCCUCAGGGCCUUUGCACUGGCUGCUUAUUCCCCCACCCCCCCCCAGAUUUUUCCAGGGUAGCCUCCUCCAGUCAUUCAGGUUUCAGUUGAAAUGCCAACAACCUAAAUGAAGGCUCCCCUCCCCCACUACUUAUCAAUCCCAGGUACUUUCUUAUUGGCCUGUUUACUGCCCCCAUCCCCAC